This 468-nucleotide ribosomal RNA is filed under the name uncultured bacterium. RNAcentral describes it as "partial 16S ribosomal RNA". It matches the Rfam family "Bacterial small subunit ribosomal RNA", at positions 28 to 507 of the family's 1533-position model. The record is from RNAcentral.
GACGAACGCUGGCGGCGUGCUUAACACAUGCAAGUCGAACGGAAAGGCCCUGCUUUUGUUGGGUUCUCGAGUGGCGAACGGGUGAGUAACACGUGAGUAACCUGCCCUUGACUUUGGGAUAACAUCAGGAAACUGGGGCUAAUACCGGAUAGGAGAUCCUGCUGCAUGGUGGGGGUUGGUAAGUGUCGGCGGUUGGGGCUGUACUCGCGGCUUACCCGCUUCAUGGUGUGGUAGUUGCUUACAAAGCGUACGACGGCUAGCCGGCCUGAGAGGGUGACCGGCCACAUGGGGACUGAGGGACGGCCCAGACGCCUACGGGAGGCAGCAGUGGGGAAUAUUGCACAAUGGGCGGAAGCGUGAUGCAGAAACGCCGCGUGCGGGAUGACGGCCUUCGGGGUGUAAACCGAUUUCGCCUGUGACGUAGCGGGAGUGACGGUAAUGGGUAAAGAAGCACCGGCUAACUACGUG